This 253-nucleotide ribosomal RNA is filed under the name uncultured bacterium. Its description in RNAcentral is "partial 16S ribosomal RNA". It matches the Rfam family "Bacterial small subunit ribosomal RNA", at positions 524 to 776 of the family's 1533-position model. The record is from RNAcentral.
UACGUAGGGUGCAAGCGUUAAUCGGAAUUACUGGGCGUAAAGCGUGCGCAGGCGGCUUUGCAAGACAGAUGUGAAAUCCCCGGGCUUAACCUGGGAACUGCAUUUGUGACUGCAUCGCUGGAGUGCGGCAGAGGGGGAUGGAAUUCCGCGUGUAGCAGUGAAAUGCGUAGAGAUGUGGAGGAAUACCGAUGGCGAAGGCAGCCUCCUGGGCCAACACUGACGCUCAUGCACGAAAGCGUGGGGAGCAAACAGG